CGCACGGUAGAGCAGCCCGGUAGCUCGCUUGGCUCAUAACCAAGAGGUCGCACGUUCGAAUCGUGCCUGUGCAACCA
Molecule: transfer RNA, 77 nt
Filed under: Mesorhizobium sp. Root552
Lineage: Bacteria; Pseudomonadati; Pseudomonadota; Alphaproteobacteria; Hyphomicrobiales; Phyllobacteriaceae
Description: tRNA-Met
Rfam family: tRNA
About the family: Transfer RNA (tRNA) molecules are approximately 80 nucleotides in length.
Source: RNAcentral